CCUGAGAAACCCGAAAGAUCGAAAGAGGAGACUCAUCGUCAGCGGAUACGACUUGCGUGCGGUUCGCGAUGUUCGUCGCAAGUAUUUAUUUAUUUGCGUACGGCACUCGUCCGCUGCGUCAUGUUCGUUUACGUCGGCUUGCACUUCUCCUCAAGUAGAACGUCGCGACCCGCUGGGUGUCGGUCUAAGGACCGAGAUUGGUGACUGUUCCUGCGCUUCGGCGUUCGGUAACAGACACUUGUGUUCCCGAUCGACUGCCCGGCGGUAAAAGAAAUGGUAUAAAGCCGCACGCUUAUUGUGCGUUCAGGCUCGUCGCAAGCACGAUCAUAGCUCGGUGUGCGGACCCAGUGCCGUACUCGGGACUGAUCAGCUGUUGGUCGACGAUGUUCUCGAACAGGCUUAAAUUCGAACGUUUUUUUGAAAUAUUGAAUACCUAUCGGCGACGCUAUUGCUUUGGGUACUUUCAGGACCCGUCUUGAAACACGGACCAAGGAGUCUAACAUGUGCGCGAGUCAUUGGGAUUAAAUAAUACCUAAAGGCGCAUUGAAAGAAAAAUUGGUCGGCCUCGCGUCGACCAUAGGGAGGAUGGGUCGCGUCACGAUGCGACCCCGCACUCCCGGGGCGUCUCUUUUCUUUUUAAGAAUCUAGAGGCGCACCAAGAGCGUACACGUUGGGACCCGAAAGAUGGUGAACUAUGCCUGGUCAGGACGAAGUCAGGGGAAACCCUGAUGGAGGUCCGUAGCGAUUCUGACGUGCAAAUCGAUCGUCGGAACUGGGUAUAG
Molecule: ribosomal RNA, 782 nt
Filed under: Probaryconus sp. 1 EJT-2013
Lineage: Eukaryota; Metazoa; Arthropoda; Insecta; Hymenoptera; Scelionidae
Description: eukaryotic LSU rRNA
Rfam family: Eukaryotic large subunit ribosomal RNA
Source: RNAcentral